Molecule: ribosomal RNA, 454 nt
Filed under: Xynobius notauliferus
Lineage: Eukaryota; Metazoa; Arthropoda; Insecta; Hymenoptera; Braconidae
Description: eukaryotic LSU rRNA
Source: RNAcentral
AACCCGUUCAGGGGUAAACCUGAGAAACCCAAAAGAUCGAAUGGGGAGAUUCAUCGUCAGCUCAUUUUGUAUAUAUACAAGUUAUGAUAUGGGUUACUACUUGUAGUAUUGCUUAUACAUUCUUGUAUAUUUAAUUGCAAGAUGUUGUCGGCGUGCACUUCUCCCCUAGUUAGGACGUCGCGACCCGUUGAGUGUCGGUUUACGGCCCGAGUGGUAGCCUUUAAUUCUUGUAAUUAAAGACCCUUGGUGUUUCCUGACUGACUACUCGGCGGUAUUCGUAUGGUAUUAAGCCGCAUUUUUAUGCGUUUAUAUCCGUCGCAAGCGCGGUUAAUUUUUGGUAGUACGGACCUAGUGCCGUCGCUAUAAUUAAUCAGCUGUUGGUUGUACGGUAUUCUAAAACUGGCUUUAUUUAUAAUACCGGUCAGCGAUGCUACUGCUUUGGGUACUUUCAGGA